Molecule: ribosomal RNA, 497 nt
Filed under: uncultured bacterium
Lineage: Bacteria
Description: partial 16S ribosomal RNA
Rfam family: Bacterial small subunit ribosomal RNA
Source: RNAcentral
GAUGAACGCUGGCGGCGUGCCUAAUACAUGCAAGUCGAGCGAACGGACGAGAAGCUUGCUUCUCUGAUGUUAGCGGCGGACGGGUGAGUAACACGUGGAUAACCUACCUAUAAGACUGGGAUAACUUCGGGAAACCGGAGCUAAUACCGGAUGAUAUUUUGAACCGCAUGGUUCAAAAGUGAAAGACGGUCUUGCUGUCACUUAUAGAUGGAUCCGCGCUGCAUUAGCUAGUUGGUAAGGUAACGGCUUACCAAGGCAACGAUGCAUAGCCGACCUGAGAGGGGUAUUCGCCCACCUGGAACCGAAGCACGGGUCCGACCCCCUCGGGGGGGAGGAGGUGGGAAUUUUCCGGAAUUGGCGGAAGCCUUACGGGGCAACGCCGGGGUGGGGAUUAAGGUUUUCGGAUCGUAAAACUCUGUUAUUAGGGAAGAACAUAUGUGUAAGUAACUGUGCACAUCUUGACGGUACCUAAUCAGAAAGCCACGGCUAACUACGUG